GUUUCUGAUCCUGUUUAAGUUCCUAGUCCAUUGCCUUGCAUAUAACAAGAAAAUGGAACAGGACAUCAGGGAAGGAGGCUUCACGGCGUCUCAGAGCAGCUGACUGGCCUGUGCAGAGGCUGUGCGGCCACCCGGCCCAGCCCCCUCCUGCUGUCAUGGCUGGGGGACCCUCUGUGUUGCUGUAACCACGAGCGGCUCCUCCCUGGUCGCCAGGACGUCCCUGCCCCGUGUGUGUCUGGAAUAGGCACUUAGAUCAACGCUGACUCUGGAGCCCGUCCCUGGGUCCUGCAGAAGGGGCAAGGGCCUUGCAUGGUAGGCACGAUUACCUCAGUCUUACAAACUGGAAAAGGGAGUCUCAGAAUAGCCUCUGGUUGUCAUAUCUUGAAGACUGUAAUAUUUAUGAAGGCAGGAGCUAAAUUUACUUGAAUCAACACUGGAACCUCAGCGCAGAGUACUGGUACAUA
Delphinapterus leucas (beluga whale) is the source of this 464-nucleotide non-coding RNA. The record is from RefSeq and is a predicted model, not a curated record. NCBI's taxonomy places the organism in Eukaryota, Metazoa, Chordata, Mammalia, Artiodactyla, Monodontidae.